Long non-coding RNA from Phragmites australis (common reed), 3042 nucleotides. RefSeq lists it as uncharacterized. The transcript is spliced from 6 exons. The record is from RefSeq and is a predicted model, not a curated record. Lineage: Eukaryota; Viridiplantae; Streptophyta; Magnoliopsida; Poales; Poaceae.
UCUUACCUGUUCGUCCUUCCCCAACCAUCUGCCCCGAACUCCUCGCCCCCAUCCACGCCUCCAGUUCCGUGCGCACAUCCCAUCACCUUCCCCUCCCCAUAAUGCCCCGAUCUCACACCCACCGACGGCGACGCCGGCAUGUCGUCCUCGCCGCUGCUGAUCCUGGCUUCCACGCCGCUGCCCGGACAACGACGCCGACAACAUCGAGGAGUCCGAUGGCAACGACUUUGACCAUGAGAUGGUUCUUCGUCGAUUUGCGUCACCAACUCGGGAUCCCUCCAGCCAGCCACCGCACACCGCCCUCCUCCAAUUGCUCUUCUCUCGAUCGGGUUGGAUACGUAGGCCGACGGUGAUGGCGGCAGCGGCUGUUGGGAGGAGGAAGCGCGCAGCAAUGGUGGUGCUGGGUGACCUCGGCCGCAGUCCGCACAUGCAGUAUCACUCCCUCUCCUCGCCAACCUGCGGAGCUGUGCAAGAACACGUACCCAGAUAGGGAUUUUGUUGAAGAGGCAGAUAAGGCAUGGAUGAGGAUUUAUGAGCAUCUUCAGGCAAGCUCGACAAUGUGGGCCACAUUUCUAACGUGUACAAUUCUAUAGUAUUGGAAUGAAAUAGUAUCUGUAGUUCCGUAUUUUGAGUUUAACACGUGGUCAUCGUUCUUGAGAAGAGUCAUUGCUUGAGGUGGACAUGGAAUAUUGUUUGCGAUGGCAACUUAAACAAUCUACAUCUUAGCGUAGUAUGAUGAUAGUUUGACAACAUUUAAGUGGAAAUUUACAAUCCUUCACCUACAUCUGUUACACGUUGCAGUACCUGAAUACCAAGACAACUUUGUACAACGCUAUACUGAAAGCUGAGGGUGAAAGUGUCCUUCUCACAGAGGAAGCUCAAAGAGCAGCAACCACCUCGCAUGUUGACUUUGAAAAUGGAGGGAUUCCUCUUCCUAAAGAUAAACUUGAGCAUGUUAAUCAGCUGAACAUUGAGAUUGCCCAGCUGGGUAGAAAGUUCAAUGAAAAUGUUAUGAACAAACCAGGUUUUGUAGAUGUAGAUCCACCUUCGCUGAUUCCAAGAAACAUGCAACAUCAUUUCAAGCCUGUUUACCAUUUUAAACCUGGAAGUGCUGAAAAGCAAAGCAAUCAGAUCAACACCACAAAGCAAAAGGGUCUAAGGAUUGUAACAGACUCAAGAAAUUUAUCAUCAGCGCUGAGAUGGAUUUCUGAUGAGGAAGAAACAGGUAUACAUUAUUGGAACUCUGAACCUCCCGAAAAUAUUUGUGUUCCUAACAAACUUAUAGCGUGAUGAGUUUGCAAAGGUAAUGCGUUUUCUUCAAAUUAAGAAGUUUCAUGAUUGUGUUAUUCAAAUGCCAUAGCAUUGAUUACCAAUGUAACUUGUGGUUCUCAAACAACCCUGAAUGAUUGAAUUACACAUUUGGUUCCCUGUUCAUGUCUUUGCAGACUAUGGGAUGCAAGUCAUAUGCCGACUUUGCUAUUCGUCUGAACAUGAUUGCAUCAGCUGAUGUGGUUAUGUCGUUUCUCGGAGAUUUGAGCAACAUUGUUAGGCAUAAAGCUGAUGAGGUAUGGAUGGAUUCAAUUUCACAUUGGCAUGGAAUGUCAUUAUGCAUUGUUAUGUUCUGUAUGUCGAAAUGCAUCAUUAUAUUCAAUCACUCAUCUCUGUCUAAAAAACCACCGCGUCUGUGCCAAAAACAGCCCGAACAAACCCAAAAAAAAUGUCUUGGGCGGUAUUCUUGCUGAGGUCGCACCCUGCCACUGGGUGAGAUUCGUGGCGCUGCUGGAUUCUCACGGUCGUGGGAUCCGCCGCCGCUUCACUAGUUCCUAGCCCCGCUAGACGAUGUCACUGGAGAUUCCCGUUGGCGCCUCGCCACCUGGGCGGGAUUCUCGCGAGAUCGUUGCCGGCCGGCUGGGAUUCGUUAGAUCCGCCGCUGCUUCACCAGCGCAUCGCCCCACUCGAUGGCGUCUUUGGCCCUGUCGCCAGCACGCCGCGGUGCUCCAUUCCCUCUUAGGCCCGGCCACCGGUACACCGGAUGAGUCUCACGGUGGCCUCAAUUUUUUACUCUGCUGGUCGCCGCCGAUCUGAACUAAAAGCCUGACACUUACGAGAUUUGAUGUUUUCCCUCCAAAUAUUUUAUGUUUCUAUUAUCCGAUUGCUAUUCCAUGUAAUUGGCUAUGCCUAUAUGUCAAGAAAUCAAAUUGGGGAUGAAUAGAUGCCUAAUCUGAUAGAUUUGAAGUAGAGAAUCUUGGUUCCUCCGUUUCUUUUUUCCCUCCUUUCUGAGCCAAGCUACAUCUAGGAGGAGUAACGAUAACUCCACAUCUUGGUAAAAUGCCCUCAUAAGCUCCUCGGAUGCGUCUUGGGGGCUCACGUUCUUGUGUGUUUUUGGUUUCGUAGGCACAGAAAGGAGAGGGUUUUAAUCUGUUUCUCCUGCUGAUUCAGCCGGUUGCUGUGGAUACGAUGGAGACUAGCUCUUUUUUUUUUUUUUUUUUGUUCAAUCUGGAGGGAUUUGGUGAAAAGGAGGCGCUUUUAGCUGUUUCCUAAGUUCAGUUUCAUAGGAUUGCAGGAUGUGGUUGCUAAAUAGGGAUUUGUACUCAUUUUUUAGAUAAUUGGUGAAACAGAUGGGUGUUUGUUCUGCCCUUUGUCAAACAAUUAUGGUUAUUUUUCCUUAAUGUAUCCUCGAGGAGGUAGCUAUCAUAUUUGGGUUGAUAUGUUCUUUAUUGCUUAUGUUUAUAUGUGAUGCAUCUGCUAUUAUUAUACAUGCUUUCCUUUUGUUUAGUGGUUCCUUGUGGAAGUUAAACAUGUUGUAGUGGGAUCCUGACCAAACUGGCUGUACUGAAAUUUCAUCCAACCAACCCAACUAACGGCAUAUUUGUUUCCACUACGGAUUGUGGAAAGCAACUUUUAUAAUUUGAAGUGGAAACAAACAAACAGCUUUUAUAAGAUGGAUUCCAUAAAUGGUUCCUAGAUUAUCACAAUCCCACAAUCCACUCUUCAUCAGCUUUUCUCAGCUUUUGAUUUGUAAAGAAACCAAAUUACCCAUCG